This 464-nucleotide ribosomal RNA is filed under the name uncultured bacterium. Its description in RNAcentral is "partial 16S ribosomal RNA". It matches the Rfam family "Bacterial small subunit ribosomal RNA", at positions 339 to 795 of the family's 1533-position model. The record is from RNAcentral.
CUACGGGCCGCUGCAGUGGGGAAUAUUGCACAAUGGGCGCAAGCCUGAUGCAGCCAUGCCGCGUGUAUGAAGAAGGCCUGCGGGUUGUAAAGUACUUUCAGCGGGGAGGAAGGGAGUAAAGUUAAUACCUUUGCUCAUUGACGUUACCCGCAGAAGAAGCACCGGCUAACUCCGUGCCAGCAGCCGCGGUAAUACGGAGGGUGCAAGCGUUAAUCGGAAUUACUGGGCGUAAAGCGCACGCAGGCGGUUUGUUAAGUCAGAUGUGAAAUCCCCGGGCUCAACCUGGGAACUGCAUCUGAUACUGGCAAGCUUGAGUCUCGUAGAGGGGGGUAGAAUUCCAGGUGUAGCGGUGAAAUGCGUAGAGAUCUGGAGGAAUACCGGUGGCGAAGGCGGCGCCCUGGACAAAGACUGACGCUCAGGUGCGAAAGCGUGGGGAGCAAACAGGAUUAGAUACCCGCGUAGUC